Carassius auratus (goldfish) is the source of this 799-nucleotide long non-coding RNA. RefSeq lists it as uncharacterized. The record is from RefSeq and is a predicted model, not a curated record. The transcript is spliced from 4 exons. Lineage: Eukaryota; Metazoa; Chordata; Actinopteri; Cypriniformes; Cyprinidae.
UUCAAAAUGGGUUUCAAAGGAUGAAUUUUGAGAUUUUAUGUUUUCAAGUGAUAUAUAAUUUCUGAUGUUUUCUAAAGUGUGAUAGAGAAAAAGGCAACAAGGAAGACUUUUUUGACGAAGUCUCCAGUGGGGCAUGCAGCUGUCGUGGGGUCCUCGUGUUAUCAGCAGCAGAGUUGUAAGUGCAUUUGAUAGCACUGGCUCAAAACCAUAAAACUAUUUUUAACCUGUUACUUAAAUAUUUUACAUUUACCACUGGUUUUUAAACUUAUUCUAACAUGCAUAUUUUUUCUGGUCUUUAGGUAACCAAGCGUUUUUGUUACCUGGGGUCUUCAGACGUCAGAUACAGGAUCCGUCUGGCUAUGUGGAGAAAAGGAGAGAAGUGGUACUGAGAUGCCUGAUUGAGUACAUGUGGGAGGGAAAGGAAGACCUCAUCAGUGUCCACCAUAGUCAUGAUGAAACAGAGGUGCACGCUGAGCUUGGCAGUUUCCCACUGAAAAUAUACACGUGCCAUCAGCCAAACACGAUUGGGAUUAUCACAGUAGAAGGACAGCCCAUGGUCAGAGGUGUGCCAAACCUGUAGAAAACCUCCUGUUUGGACUUGUCUAUGCCCACAACCUCUAAUAUCACUCAAAUCUGGUGUAUACUUCUGAGAUAUAUCAGAGGCUCUUUGUGGGAUUGGACCCUAUGCAUACAUUUGUAUGUUUUGUAGGCACUGUUAAAAGUGACACUAGUUGACAUUGAAUAAAUGUUAUUGUCUUUAAUCUGUCUUCCCAUCUUUUUCUUCUUCAAUUGAAUUUGU